RNAcentral lists this ribosomal RNA (1455 nucleotides) under uncultured organism. RNAcentral's name for it is "SSU rRNA". It matches the Rfam family "Bacterial small subunit ribosomal RNA". The record is from RNAcentral.
GAUGAACGCUAGCGACAGGCUUAACACAUGCAAGUCGAGGGGCAGCGGGGGUAGCGAUACCCGCCGGCGACCGGCGCACGGGUGAGUAACGCGUAUGCAACUUGCCUAUCAGAGGGGGAUAACCCGGCGAAAGUCGGACUAAUACCGCAUGAAGCAGGGGCCCCGCAUGGGGAUAUUUGCUAAAGAUUCAUCGCUGAUAGAUAGGCAUGCGUUCCAUUAGGCAGUUGGCGGGGUAACGGCCCACCAAACCGACGAUGGAUAGGGGUUCUGAGAGGAAGGUCCCCCACAUUGGUACUGAGACACGGACCAAACUCCUACGGGAGGCAGCAGUGAGGAAUAUUGGUCAAUGGCCGAGAGGCUGAACCAGCCAAGUCGCGUGAGGGAUGAAGGUUCUAUGGAUCGUAAACCUCUUUUAUAAGGGAAUAAAGUGCGGGACGUGUCCCGUUUUGUAUGUACCUUAUGAAUAAGGAUCGGCUAACUCCGUGCCAGCAGCCGCGGUAAUACGGAGGAUCCGAGCGUUAUCCGGAUUUAUUGGGUUUAAAGGGUGCGUAGGCGGCCUUUUAAGUCAGCGGUGAAAGUCUGUGGCUCAACCAUAGAAUUGCCGUUGAAACUGGGGGGCUUGAGUAUGUUUGAGGCAGGCGGAAUGCGUGGUGUAGCGGUGAAAUGCAUAGAUAUCACGCAGAACCCCGAUUGCGAAGGCAGCCUGCCAAGCCAUUACUGACGCUGAUGCACGAAAGCGUGGGGAUCAAACAGGAUUAGAUACCCUGGUAGUCCACGCAGUAAACGAUGAUCACUAGCUGUUUGCGAUACACUGUAAGCGGCACAGCGAAAGCGUUAAGUGAUCCACCUGGGGAGUACGCCGGCAACGGUGAAACUCAAAGGAAUUGACGGGGGCCCGCACAAGCGGAGGAACAUGUGGUUUAAUUCGAUGAUACGCGAGGAACCUUACCCGGGUUUGAACGCAUUCGGACCGAGGUGGAAACACCUUUUCUAGCAAUAGCCGUUUGCGAGGUGCUGCAUGGUUGUCGUCAGCUCGUGCCGUGAGGUGUCGGCUUAAGUGCCAUAACGAGCGCAACCCUUGCCACUAGUUACUAACAGGUAAAGCUGAGGACUCUGGUGGGACUGCCAGCGUAAGCUGCGAGGAAGGCGGGGAUGACGUCAAAUCAGCACGGCCCUUACAUCCGGGGCGACACACGUGUUACAAUGGCGUGGACAAAGGGAAGCCACCUGGCGACAGGGAGUGAAUCCCCAAACCACGUCUCAGUUCGGAUCGGAGUCUGCAACCCGACUCCGUGAAGCUGGAUUCGCUAGUAAUCGCGCAUCAGCCAUGGCGCGGUGAAUACGUUCCCGGGCCUUGUACACACCGCCCGUCAAGCCAUGGGAGCCGGGGGUACCUGAAGUCCGUAACCGCGAGGAUCGGCCUAGGGUAAAACUGGUGACUGGGGCUAAGUCGUA